RNAcentral lists this transfer RNA (1202 nucleotides) under Homo sapiens (human). RNAcentral's name for it is "HSALNT0103153". The stretch from base 551 to 633 matches the Rfam family "tRNA". Lineage: Eukaryota; Metazoa; Chordata; Mammalia; Primates; Hominidae. The record is from RNAcentral.
GGCGUUGCCAGCUCCUCCCUCCUGCAUGGUCGGCUGGGUUCCACCAGCUCCGCUAGUGUUAACAGGAGGAAGUGUCCCCCUGGUCUGCAUCUCCCUGGUGAUCUGGUUCUCAUCCGAAUGCAGACAGCGGAAAGGGAGGGUUUUCCACAAGGAGGUCGGCAAGUAUUUCUAGAAAGAAAAGAGCUUCUCUUCUAAUUAGAGCACCAAAGACUACGCUACAGUCAGAUUUUACUUCACUUUGAAAAAUCUACCCGUCUUGGUACAUACGCAGCUGCUUCGUUAGUUGUGACUCUGCACAGCAUGAAGUUUAUACCCACCUGCUCCGAUGACAGACAGGCAGGUACAAACAAAAAUUUCUCCGGAAAUUUUUGACCAAGUGAGGAGACUCAGGAGAAGUGAUUGAUGAACACAUGCUGUGUUUUCCUAUUAUAUCCUCCUUAUAUUUUAAUACAAUUCAGUAAAAACAGGAAUAAUUCGGUACUUCCUUGACUCUCAGUGCAAAUGCCUUUGUUGUUAUAAAAAAAUGAUUGCCUUGAAACUUGCCCCAGUCACCGGGAUGGCCGAGUGGUUAAGGCGUUGGACUUAAGAUCCAAUGGGCUGGUGCCCGCGUGGGUUCGAACCCCACUCUCGAAAUCGCCUCAACAGGCAGUAGUGUGUGAAUGAUUCUCUACCACAACCUAUCAGAUUGCCAAUAGAAGGAAAAAUCCCUCAUAUCCACCGCUCACAUCCAUGGCCUACUCCAGGAUUUUCAAUUCCACCAGGAACUGAACCUCUGAGGCUAUUUGACCGGAAGGCCACAGGUAAGAAACUCUAGUUCUAGGUACCUCCCAGGAAAUAAGAGCCACUCCCCAGGAUUUUCAUAGUUUCCAAAUGAUUGUACAAGAAAAGCCCAACCCUUAGCUAGGGCUGUCUCUCACACACUCUGAAGAGCAUGGUUGAGUCCUUCUCAACAGAGUUUAUCUUGUUUUUUCCAGUUUGAAAUGUGAAAAUGAUCCCUCAGGGAGUUUUAUUUUGCAUUUAACUGGUUAUAUUGUCCUUGAGCACCUUUUUAUAUGUUUAAAAGCCAUUUGUAUUUCCUUUUCUGUUACAUGCAUAGUAUUCUGUGCUAAUUUUUCUACUUAGUUGUUAGGUCUUUCUCUUAUGAUUUGUAGGGUCUCUUUAAAUAUGGCUUGAUUAAACUUUGUUUUGACAUGAAUCACAAG